Long non-coding RNA from Daphnia carinata, 583 nucleotides. RefSeq lists it as uncharacterized. NCBI's taxonomy places the organism in Eukaryota, Metazoa, Arthropoda, Branchiopoda, Diplostraca, Daphniidae. The transcript has 4 exons. The record is from RefSeq and is a predicted model, not a curated record.
AAAUAGUUCAUUUUUUACGUACCGGCAAUCUUGAAAGCUAUCAAUUCCAAACAGUGACAGAUUGCUCUGCUACAAAACUUUGACCGUAGCAUUCCAACAUGCUACUCUGUUGUUCUUUUUAGAGAUCUAGCUUGUGAAACUUACAACGGAAAAGAUGCCAACCAGGAGGAAGUUCACCAACGAAGUGAAUUCUUGGAAUCAAUACACCACUGUCCAAUUCGCCUACCCUUUGCCCUAGUCAUCAGAAUCAGUUUUAUUCUGAUAAAUGCAGCAUGUUGCUCUUUCUUUGCUUUCCAACAGUUAACCACUAUCAAUCAACACACACAGACAUGGACAUCAAAACCAAUCCCUUUUGGGCUCCCAAGCUUUCAAGUUCUUCAGCAAAAUUACCAGCCCUGCAACUUUUGCAGUCUUCAAACAACAGGCUUAGUACUAUGCCAUCAGCUUCAUUCCCAUGCAAAAUUGAAACAAAAAUUCUAAGUUUUGCCCGUUCUUCGCUUCAUCAUCUGUCGUCACCAGGCUUUUCGCCCUAUCCGUCGCCCAGUCAUCGCUUCACCCUUCGCCCUGUCUUCGCCUCGGCCGU